This 253-nucleotide ribosomal RNA is filed under the name uncultured bacterium. RNAcentral's name for it is "partial 16S ribosomal RNA". It matches the Rfam family "Bacterial small subunit ribosomal RNA", at positions 524 to 776 of the family's 1533-position model. The record is from RNAcentral.
UACAGAGGUGGCAAGCGUUGUUCGGAAUUACUGGGCGUAAAGGGCGCGUAGGCGGCCGAUCAAGUCAGAUGUGAAAGUCCUGGGCUUAACCUGGGGACUGCAUUUGAUACUGAUUGGCUUGAAUUCGGGAGAGGAUAGCGGAAUUCCCAGUGUAGAGGUGAAAUUCGUAGAUAUUGGGAAGAACACCGGUGGCGAAGGCGGCUAUCUGGACCGACAUUGACGCUGAGGCGCGAAAGCGUGGGGAGCAAACAGG